This is a non-coding RNA of Pelobates cultripes (western spadefoot toad), 298 nucleotides long. Lineage: Eukaryota; Metazoa; Chordata; Amphibia; Anura; Pelobatidae. The record is from the annotation of a GenBank genome assembly.
GUGAGCACUAUAUACGUCUCUCAUUUUUUAUAUACCGAGGAAUUGUCCAGGACCCCAUCACCUAUAUCCUACCAGUGGGGGAUUGACGCCACUGAACGCUAAGAACACUUGAGCAAGGUUUUUUUGCUCACGCCAAGGUGAGUCAUUUACCUACUUACAGACCUAUACCUGGAAACUAUAUCGACAUUCUACACUAUUGGAGUUCCUCUUCCUCUUCUUUUUUUUAAUGUAUCUACGUAUUGACAAGCAUUUCAAGACAUCCUCAACAUAAGAAGACUCAGAUACCCAUUUGGACUGU